UGGGUUUCUGUGAGGCCUCUAAGGAAAUGACCUGAGUGAAGAUUGUUUAAAGGAGGGGUUCACUCCUAGGUGAAAAGUUUGUAAAUCAUUUUGGUAAGAUUGAUUUCUGAUAAGCUUAUACCCUUGAGCAAAACAAUUAUUCUUACAGGGGGACCGUUUGCUGCCAUGGUAAAAUGUGAAAUUUCUCAUUUUUAUUUUCUUCACUUCUUUUAUCUUAUUAAUG
RNAcentral lists this long non-coding RNA (223 nucleotides) under Mytilus galloprovincialis (Mediterranean mussel). Lineage: Eukaryota; Metazoa; Mollusca; Bivalvia; Mytilida; Mytilidae. The record is from RNAcentral.